AACGAACGCUGGCGGCGCGUCUUAAGCAUGCAAGUCGGACGGCAAGGAAGGAGCUUGCUCCUUCCCUAGAGUGGCGGACUGGUGAGGAACGCGUGGGUGACGUACCCUCCGGACGGGGAUAGCCGGUAGAAAUACCGGGUAAUACCAGAUAAGAGCGCCUCCUUGGAGGGAGGCGGAGAAAGCGGCUUCGGCCGCGCCGGAGGAACGGCCCGCGUGCUAUUAGCUAGUUGGCGGGGUAACGGCCCACCAAGGCGACGAUAGCUAUCCGGCCUGAGAGGGUGAACGGACACAUUGGGACUGAGAUACGGCCCAGACUCCUACGGGAGGCAGCAGCUAAGAAUAUUCCGCAAUGGGGGAAACCCUGACGGAGCGACGCCGCGUGGAUGAUGAAGGCCGGAAGGUUGUAAAGUCCUUUUGGGCGCAAAGAAUAAGUACGCGAGGAAAUGCGCGUGCGGUGACGGUAGCGCCUGAAUAAGCAACGGCUAAUUACGUG
This 493-nucleotide ribosomal RNA is filed under the name uncultured bacterium. Its description in RNAcentral is "bacterial SSU rRNA". It matches the Rfam family "Bacterial small subunit ribosomal RNA", at positions 29 to 507 of the family's 1533-position model. The record is from RNAcentral.